This 404-nucleotide ribosomal RNA is filed under the name uncultured bacterium. RNAcentral's name for it is "bacterial SSU rRNA". It matches the Rfam family "Bacterial small subunit ribosomal RNA", at positions 359 to 774 of the family's 1533-position model. The record is from RNAcentral.
GAAUAUUGCACAAUGGGCGGAAGCCUGAUGCAGCGACGCCGCGUGGGGGAUGACGGCCUUCGGGUUGUAAACUCCUUUCACCAUCGACGAAGGUUUUCUGACGGUAGAUGGAGAAGAAGCACCGGCUAACUACGUGCCAGCAGCCGCGGUAAUACGUAGGGUGCGAGCGUUGUCCGGAAUUACUGGGCGUAAAGAGCUCGUAGGUGGUUUGUCGCGUCGUCUGUGAAAUUCCGGGGCUUAACUCCGGGCGUGCAGGCGAUACGGGCAUAACUUGAGUACUGUAGGGGAGACUGGAAUUCCUGGUGUAGCGGUGAAAUGCGCAGAUAUCAGGAGGAACACCGGUGGCGAAGGCGGGUCUCUGGGCAGUAACUGACGCUGAGGAGCGAAAGCAUGGGUAGCGAACA